RNAcentral lists this ribosomal RNA (434 nucleotides) under uncultured bacterium. RNAcentral describes it as "bacterial SSU rRNA". It matches the Rfam family "Bacterial small subunit ribosomal RNA", at positions 957 to 1391 of the family's 1533-position model. The record is from RNAcentral.
GAACGCGAAGAACCUUACCCACCUUUGACAUGUAUGGAAUUUGCCAGAGAUGGCUUAGUGCUCGAAAGAGAGCCAUAACACAGGUGCUGCAUGGCUGUCGUCAGCUCGUGUCGUGAGAUGUUGGGUUAAGUCCCGCAACGAGCGCAACCCUUGUCAUUAGUUGCUACAUUUAGUUGGGCACUCUAAUGAGACUGCCGGUGACAAACCGGAGGAAGGUGGGGAUGACGUCAAGUCCUCAUGGCCCUUAUAGGUGGGGCUACACACGUCAUACAAUGGCUGGUACAGAGGGUUGCCAACCCGCAAGGGGGAGCUAAUCCCAUAAAGCCAGUCGUAGUCCGGAUCGCAGUCUGCAACUCGACUGCGUGAAGUCGGAAUCGCUAGUAAUCGCGGAUCAGCAUGUCGCGGUGAAUACGUUCCCGGGUCUUGUACACACC